This 718-nucleotide ribosomal RNA is filed under the name uncultured Bacilli bacterium. RNAcentral describes it as "bacterial SSU rRNA". It matches the Rfam family "Bacterial small subunit ribosomal RNA", at positions 35 to 722 of the family's 1533-position model. Lineage: Bacteria; Bacillati; Bacillota; Bacilli. The record is from RNAcentral.
GCUGGCGGCGUGCCUAAUACAUGCAAGUCGAACGAAACUUUCUUACACCGAAUGCUUGCAUUCACCGUAAGAAGUUGAGUGGCGGACGGGUGAGUAACACGUGGGUAACCUGCCUAAAAGAAGGGGAUAACACUUGGAAACAGGUGCUAAUACCGUAUAUCUCUAAGGAUCGCAUGAUUCUUAGAUGAAAGAUGGUUCUGCUAUCGCUUUUAGAUGGACCCGCGGCGUAUUAACUAGUUGGUGGGGUAACGGCCUACCAAGGUGAUGAUACGUAGCCGAACUGAGAGGUUGAUCGGCCACAUUGGGACUGAGACACGGCCCAAACUCCUACGGGAGGCAGCAGUAGGGAAUCUUCCACAAUGGACGCAAGUCUGAUGGAGCAACGCCGCGUGAGUGAAGAAGGUCUUCGGAUCGUAAAACUCUGUUGUUAGAGAAGAACACGAGUGAGAGUAACUGUUCAUUCGAUGACGGUAUCUAACCAGCAAGUCACGGCUAACUACGUGCCAGCAGCCGCGGUAAUACGUAGGUGGCAAGCGUUGUCCGGAUUUAUUGGGCGUAAAGGGAACGCAGGCGGUCUUUUAAGUCUGAUGUGAAAGCCUUCGGCUUAACCGGAGUAGUGCAUUGGAAACUGGAAGACUUGAGUGCAGAAGAGGAGAGUGGAACUCCAUGUGUAGCGGUGAAAUGCGUAGAUAUAUGGAAGAACACCAGUGGCGAAAGC